This is a long non-coding RNA of Peromyscus californicus insignis, 2573 nucleotides long. RefSeq lists it as uncharacterized. Lineage: Eukaryota; Metazoa; Chordata; Mammalia; Rodentia; Cricetidae. The record is from RefSeq and is a predicted model, not a curated record. The transcript is spliced from 7 exons.
AAACCUCAGUGUCUGAAAGGUUUUCCCUCUGCUGCAUGGAAAGAGAAGAUUCUAAAAUCAAUUAAUUGUGUACUGGAUCUUUCAUCAAUAAGACCAACAGCCACAAACGUGUAGGAUACCAGCUAUUUUAUUCUAUCAUACACUCCCUGCCAUGUGAUCAGUUUGCCUCAAGACCACAUCAAUGAAACCAUGAAGCAUGGACCAAAGCCUAUGAACCAAGAGUCAAAAUAAAUAUAUCCUCAAGUUGAUUUUGCUCAGGCAAAACUGAAUCUGUGGAGUCAGCUUUCUAAGGGGGAAAUACCAGAUUUUACCAAACUGAAGAGUCUUCUCCUCCUAUGUUUCAGGGUGUUGUUGCUGUGGGAACCAGAUCCUAGACUCCAUAAAUGGAGAUAUGGAAACAUCCAGCUCUGAAGCAGAUCUAAGGCAUGGCCUUUGGUUGGCUCGUCCUUUGCUUUGAACCUUACUGCUGUGGAUAUCUGUAUGCUGAGAAUGUGUUGCUCUGAUUGGUUAAUAAAUAAAGUGUUGAUUGGCCAGUAGCCAGACAGGAAGUAUAGGUGGGACAAGCAGAGAAGAGAAUUCUGGGAAGAGGAAGGCUGAGGGGAGACGACAGCCUGCCGUCCAGGGAGCAGCAUGUAAAGGCAACAGCCCAUGGACUUGGCCUAUAUCUGCCAGCCUAAGUCCCUCAAACAGUCUGAGGUGAAGAUAGGAGAUCUGGAGCAAUGCCAAAGAGCAUGGAGAAGCUAAAGGAGAACAAAUCUAAGACCUAAGUGAGCACAUCACUCUGGUUCUUCACAAAGAGAAACCCAAACACCACUUCCCAUCACUCAAGUGGACUCAGGAGAUUUUAGGAUCCAUCUGCUGUGUAUGCAAAGGAAGGCAGCACCUGGAAGAAGAGGAUUAUCCACUAGGGAAAGCUGCAGACCCACAUGGAGAGCAUUGUUCUGACAGCACAGUCUCCUCCUUUGCUUGGAGGGGGAAUCCUGGGGCGACAUGCUUCCGGGGCUAUGGAGACUUCAUUCUUUUCUACAGAGUUAAUUUGAAUGCAGAAGCUGCAGAGACACUAGUGCAAAUAUUGUUUCUGGGAAGCUGACUGCAUGCAUUACUGAAGCAGAUAAACAUGCAUAGCACAUAGUAGUAAAGCCCAGUCUUGCAUAUGGUGCACAUAAGUAUUCAUUUGCAAAUAUCAUGGCCUCAGGGGCAGAAUCUGAUCUUCUAAAAACACUUUUUCCUGACCACAUUAAAAUUAACUUGGACCUCUUAUAGAGGGCAAGAAGGAAUUUUUUUUUCUCUGUCUUCUCAUUUUCUUUAUUCACUAUUUAUUACUUUUUGGAGUUACGGAAUAACUGAUGUUUCUAGAAUCCCUCAAAUAGAUAAUUUCUGCUUUUAGCAUCAAACUUUCAUUUUAGAUGGACUAAGUUUGACUUAGUGAUAUUUUCCUGCUACUUCAAUUAUCUUUUUAAAAAUUACUACCCUUAGUUUUUGAGAUUACAACACAAUUACAUCAUUUGUUCCUUCCCUUUCCUCCCUCAAAGCCCUCCCAUAGAACCUUCUUUGCUAUCUUUCAAAUUCAUGCCCCCCUUUCUUACUAAUUGUUGUUACAUUCCUAUAUUUAAAUACAAUCUGCUCAGUCUGUAUAAUAUUUCUUGUACAUACGAUUUCAGGGCUCACCUCUUGGUAUUUGAUAACCAGUUGGUGUGCUUUUCCUUGGGGAAGUCUAUUUCUCUUGCUCCCAGCAUUUCUUAGUUGCCUGCAGAUCUUUGUGUAGGGCGUGUCUAUUAUUGUUGUUCAUAACCUUAUAAAAUAUACAUGAUUCUGAAGGAGCCCAGACAGAGUAUAUGGAGCUGGAAGAUGAUCCAAGCAGGAGAACCACAGAGGAACCAGAUGUCCUUCUCUGUCUUUCCCCAAACAGGUCUAUGGUAUUCUGCUAGCCUCAGUUUUCCUGUCCCAUAAGUAGAGGUCAGUUGUGUUUCGCAUCACAGAGGGAGUAAGAAGGGCUGAUGGAGAGGGAAGGUAUAACAGGAAACAGGGAGUGAGUAGGCAGCAAGUUCAGUGCUAGAAUAAUUUGUUCCUCUUCACAAAGAAGCAAAAGAAAAAUUCUUUUCGUAAUAAUGGCUUUCAGUUUAUUGACGAACACUUAUGAGUGUGAAGAGAUGGAAUAUGUGGGCUGUAACCCCGGUAACCGAGUGGGCAGUGAUGUAGAGAUCCUGAUACACUCAUGGUGAGAGACUGCUACAAAGAACUCAUCUGUACUCUUAAGCUUUUCCCACCUGUAACAGUAAUGUGACUGUGAGCUGACCUGGGGGUCAAGGAAAAGAGCACAGGAUGGUGGGUGAAGAAUCCAGCCUGAUUUAUAUCUGUCAGGAAAGGGGAAAAAGAAUGGAGAAGAAAGAAAAUAUAAAGAUCUGUGAUGAUUUUCAUGAGAUGCUCUUGAGCUGAUGAAGACCACCUCUUCAGUUCUUCCUAGCUGCAGCCAGAACUUAUAUGAACUAGCUGCAUCUCUCUAAGCUACUAUCAGAUGACUACUACCACUGUUAAAACUGGCCAAUGGAUAUAAAGAGAGAAAAUUCCAUCUA